GACGAACGCUGGCGGCGUGCUUAACACAUGCAAGUCGAACGGUAAGGCCCUUCGGGGUACACGAGUGGCGAACGGGUGAGUAACACGUGGGUGAUCUGCCCUGCACUUCGGGAUAAGCCUGGGCAACUGGGUCUAAUACCGGAUAGGACUCCGGACUGCAUGGUCUGGGGUGGAAAGCUUUGGUGGGGUGGGAUGGGCCGGCGGCCUUGCAGAUUGUGGGUGGGGUGAUGGCCUACCAAGGCGACGACGGGUAGCCGGCCUGAGAGGGUGACCGGCCACACUGGGACUGAGUUACGGCCCAGACUCCUACGGUAGGCAGCAGUGGGGAAUAUUGCACAAUGGGCGCAAGCCUGAUGCAGCGACGCCGCGUGAGGGAUGACGGCCUUCGGGUUGUAAACCUCUUUCAGCAUCGACGAAGCGAAAGUGACGGUAGGUGCAGAAGAAGGACCGGCCAACUACGUGCCAGCCGCCGCGGUAA
RNAcentral lists this ribosomal RNA (478 nucleotides) under uncultured bacterium. RNAcentral's name for it is "partial 16S ribosomal RNA". It matches the Rfam family "Bacterial small subunit ribosomal RNA", at positions 28 to 523 of the family's 1533-position model. The record is from RNAcentral.